GGGUGAGUAACGCGUGAGGAACCUGCCUUUCAGAGGGGGACAACAGUUGGAAACGACUGCUAAUACCGCAUAACAUAUGUUUGUCGCAUGGCAGAUAUAUCAAAGAUUUAUCGCUGAGAGAUGGCCUCGCGUCUGAUUAGCUAGUUGGUAGGGUAACGGCCUACCAAGGCGACGAUCAGUAGCCGGACUGAGAGGUUGGCCGGCCACAUUGGGACUGAGAUACGGCCCAGACUCCUACGGGAGGCAGCAGUGGGGAAUAUUGGGCAAUGGGCGCAAGCCUGACCCAGCAACGCCGCGUGAAGGAAGAAGGCUUUCGGGUUGUAAACUUCUUUUAAGAGGGAAGAGCAGAAGACGGUACCUCUUGAAUAAGCUCCGGCUAACUACGUGCCAGCAGCCGCGGUAAUACGUAGGGAGCGAGCGUUGUCCGGAUUUACUGGGUGUAAAGGGCGUGCAGCCGGGAGUACAAGUCAGAUGUGAAAUCCCGCGGCUCAACCGCGGAACUGCAUUUGAAACUGUAUUUCUUGAGUACUGGAGAGGCAGACGGAAUUCCUAGUGUAGCGGUGAAAUGCGUAGAUAUUAGGAGGAACACCAGUGGCGAAGGCGGUCUGCUGGACAGCAACUGACGGUGAGGCGCGAAAGCGUGGGGAGCAAACAGGAUUAGAUACCCUGGUAGUCCACGCUGUAAACGAUG
RNAcentral lists this ribosomal RNA (691 nucleotides) under uncultured bacterium. RNAcentral describes it as "bacterial SSU rRNA". It matches the Rfam family "Bacterial small subunit ribosomal RNA", at positions 104 to 811 of the family's 1533-position model. The record is from RNAcentral.